GCCGGGAAUUCGAUUGUUUGAUCCUGGCUCAGGACGAACGCUGGCGGCGUGCCUAAUACAUGCAAGUCGAGCGAGCUGAAUUCAAAGAUUCCUUCGGGAUGAUUUAUUGGACGCUAGCGGCGGAUGGGUGAGUAACACGUGGGCAAUCUGCCCUAAAGACUGGGAUACCACUUGGAAACAGGUGCUAAUACCGGAUAACAACAUGAAUCGCAUGAUUCAAGUUUGAAAGGCGGCGCAAUCUGUCACUUUAGGAUGAGCCCGCGGCGCAUUAGCUAGUUGGUGGGGUAAAGGCCUACCAAGGCAAUGAUGCGUACCGAGUUGAGAGACUGAUCGGCCACAUUGGGACUGAGACACGGCCCAAACUCCUACGGGAGGCAGCAGUAGGGAAUCUUCCACAAUGGACGCAAGUCUGAUGGAGCAACGCCGCCUGAAUUAAGAAGGUUUUCGGAUCGUAAAGCUCUGUUGUUGGUGAAGAAGGAUAGGAGCAAUAACUUGUUUCUAUUUNACCGUAAUCAACCAGAAAGUCACGGCUAACUACUUGCCAGCAGCCGCCGUAAUACGUANUUGCAAGCGUUUUCC
RNAcentral lists this ribosomal RNA (579 nucleotides) under uncultured Lactobacillus sp. RNAcentral's name for it is "bacterial SSU rRNA". It matches the Rfam family "Bacterial small subunit ribosomal RNA", at positions 1 to 546 of the family's 1533-position model. Lineage: Bacteria; Bacillati; Bacillota; Bacilli; Lactobacillales; Lactobacillaceae. The record is from RNAcentral.